Molecule: ribosomal RNA, 253 nt
Filed under: uncultured bacterium
Lineage: Bacteria
Description: partial 16S ribosomal RNA
Rfam family: Bacterial small subunit ribosomal RNA
Source: RNAcentral
UACGUAGGGUGCGAGCGUUGUCCGGAAUCACUGGGCGUAAAGGGCGCGUAGGUGGCGCGACAAGUCAGUGGUGAAAGCUCGACGCUCAACGUCGAGUCGGCCACUGAUACUGUUGGGCUUGAGCACUGUAGAGGCUAAUGGAAUUCCGGGUGUAGCGGUGGAAUGCGUAGAGAUCCGGAAGAACACCGGUGGCGAAGGCGGUUAGCUGGGCAGUUGCUGACACUGAGGCGCGACAGCGUGGGGAGCGAACAGG